GAUAAACGCUGGCGGCGUGCAUGAGACAUGCAAGUCGAACGAAGGAUCGGGCUUGCUCGAUCCUUAGUGGCGGACCGCUGAGUAACGCGUAGGUGACCUACCCCGAAGUGGGGAAUAACUGCCCGAAAGGGUGGCUAAUACCGCAUGUGGUCGCACGUUCAUUCGUGCGAGUAAAGCCGCAAGGCGCUUCGGGAGGGGCCUGCGUCCGAUUAGCUCGUUGGUGGGGUAAUGGCUUACCAAGGCGACGAUCGGUAGGUGGUCUGAGAGGACGAUCACCCAGACUGGGACUGAGACACGGCCCAGACUCCUACGGGAGGCAGCAGUCGGGAAUUUUGCUCAAUGGGGGAAACCCUGAAGCAGCAACGCCGCGUGAGGGAUGAAGGCCUUCGGGUUGUAAACCUCUUUUGUCAGGGACGAUGAUGACGGUACCUGGCGAAUAAGCCACGGCUAACUACGUG
Molecule: ribosomal RNA, 458 nt
Filed under: uncultured bacterium
Lineage: Bacteria
Description: partial 16S ribosomal RNA
Rfam family: Bacterial small subunit ribosomal RNA
Source: RNAcentral